This 496-nucleotide ribosomal RNA is filed under the name uncultured bacterium. RNAcentral describes it as "partial 16S ribosomal RNA". It matches the Rfam family "Bacterial small subunit ribosomal RNA", at positions 29 to 507 of the family's 1533-position model. The record is from RNAcentral.
AUGAACGCUGGCGGCGUGCCUAAUACAUGCAAGUCGCGCGAACGGACGAGAAGCUUGCUUCUCUGAUGUUAGCGGCGGACGGGUGAGUAACACGUGGAUAACCUACCUAUAAGACUGGGAUAACUUCGGGAAACCGGAGCUAAUACCGGAUGAUAUUUUGAACCGCAUGGUUCAAAAGUGAAAGACGGUCUUGCUGUCACUUAUAGAUGGAUCCGCGCUGCAUUAGCUAGUUGGUAAGGUAACGGCUUACCAAGGCAACGAUGCAUAGCCGACCUGAGAGGGUGAUCGGCCACACUGGAACUGAGACACGGUCCAGACUCCUACGGGAGGCAGCAGUAGGGAAUCUUCCGCAAUGGGCGAAAGCCUGACGGAGCAACGCCGCGUGAGUGAUGAAGGUCUUCGGAUCGUAAAACUCUGUUAUUAGGGAAGAACAUAUGUGUAAGUAACUGUGCACAUCUUGACGGUACCUAAUCAGAAAGCCGCGGCUAACUACGUG